Molecule: ribosomal RNA, 490 nt
Filed under: uncultured bacterium
Lineage: Bacteria
Description: partial 16S ribosomal RNA
Rfam family: Bacterial small subunit ribosomal RNA
Source: RNAcentral
AGUGAACGCUGGCGGUAGGCCUAACACAUGCAAGUCGAACGGCAGCACAGUAAGAGCUUGCUCUUACGGGUGGCGAGUGGCGGACGGGUGAGGAAUACAUCGGAAUCUACUUUUUCGUGGGGGAUAACGUAGGGAAACUUACGCUAAUACCGCAUACGACCUACGGGUGAAAGCAGGGGAUCUUCGGACCUUGCGCGAUUGAAUGAGCCGAUGUCGGAUUAGCUAGUUGGCGGGGUAAAGGCCCACCAAGGCGACGAUCCGUAGCUGGUCUGAGAGGAUGAUCAGCCACAAUGGAACUGAGACACGGUCCAGACUCCUACGGGAGGCAGCAGUGGGGAAUAUUGGACAAUGGGCGCAAGCCUGAUCCAGCCAUACCGCGUGGGUGAAGAAGGCCUUCGGGUUGUAAAGCCCUUUUGUUGGGAAAGAAAAGCAGCAGGUUAAUACCCCGCUGUUCUGACGGUACCCAAAGAAUAAGCACCGGCUAACGUCG